AGAGUUUGAUCAUGGCUCAGAUUGAACGCUGGCGGCAUGCCUUACACAUGCAAGUCGAACGGCAGCACGGGGGCAACCCUGGUGGCGAGUGGCGAACGGGUGAGUAAUAUAUCGGAACGUGCCUUAGAGUGGGGGAUAACUAGUCGAAAGAUUAGCUAAUACCGCAUACGAUCUACGGAUGAAAGUGGGGGAUUCGCAAGGACCUCAUGCUCUUAGAGCGGCCGAUAUCUGAUUAGCUAGUUGGUGGGGUAAAAGCCUACCAAGGCGACGAUCAGUAGCUGGUCUGAGAGGACGACCAGCCACACUGGGACUGAGACACGGCCCAGACUCCUACGGGAGGCAGCAGUGGGGAAUUUUGGACAAUGGGGGCAACCCUGAUCCAGCAAUGCCGCGUGUGUGAAGAAGGCCUUCGGGUUGUAAAGCACUUUUGUCAGGAACGAAACGCGCCGGGCUAAUACCCUGGCGUAAUGACGGUACCUGAAGAAUAAGCACCGGCUAACUACGUGCCAGCAGCCGCGGUAAUACGUAGGGUGCGAGCGUUAAUCGGAAUUACUGGGCGUAAAGCGUGCGCAGGCGGUUGUGCAAGACAGAUGUGAAAUCCCCGGGCUCAACCUGGGAAUUGCAUUUGUGACUGCACGGCUAGAGUGUGUCAGAGGGGGGUAGAAUUCCACGUGUAGCAGUGAAAUGCGUAGAUAUGUGGAGGAAUACCGAUGGCGAAGGCAGCCCC
RNAcentral lists this ribosomal RNA (727 nucleotides) under uncultured bacterium. RNAcentral describes it as "bacterial SSU rRNA". It matches the Rfam family "Bacterial small subunit ribosomal RNA", at positions 8 to 728 of the family's 1533-position model. The record is from RNAcentral.